AAAUUGAAGAGUUUGAUCAUGGCUCAGAUUGAACGCUGGCGGCAGGCCUAACACAUGCAAGUCGAGCGGUAGCACAGAGAGCUUGCUCUCGGGUGACGAGCGGCGGACGGGUGAGUAAUGUCUGGGAAACUGCCUGAUGGAGGGGGAUAACUACUGGAAACGGUAGCUAAUACCGCAUAAUGUCGCAAGACCAAAGUGGGGGACCUUCGGGCCUCAUGCCAUCAGAUGUGCCCAGAUGGGAUUAGCUAGUAGGUGGGGUAACGGCUCACCUAGGCGACGAUCCCUAGCUGGUCUGAGAGGAUGACCAGCCACACUGGAACUGAGACACGGUCCAGACUCCUACGGGAGGCAGCAGUGGGGAAUAUUGCACAAUGGGCGCAAGCCUGAUGCAGCCAUGCCGCGUGUGUGAAGAAGGCCUUCGGGUUGUAAAGCACUUUCAGCGGGGAGGAAGGCGAUAAGGUUAAUAACCUCACCGAUUGACGUUACCCGCAGAAGAAGCACCGGCUAACUCCGUGCCAGCAGCCGCGGUAAUACGGAGGGUGCAAGCGUUAAUCGGAAUUACUGGGCGUAAAGCGCACGCAGGCGGUCUGUCAAGUCGGAUGUGAAAUCCCCGGGCUUAACCUGGGAACUGCAUUCGAAACUGGCAGGCUAGAGUCUUGUAGAGGGGGGUAGAAUUCCAGGUGUAGCGGUGAAAUGCGUAGAGAUCUGGAGGAAUACCGGUGGCGAAGGCGGCCCCCUGGACAAAGACUGACGCUCAGGUGCGAAAGCGUGGGGAGCAAACAGGAUUAGAUACCCUGGUAGUCCACGCCGUAAACGAUGUCGAUUUGGAGGUUGUGCCCUUGAGGCGUGGCUUCCGGAGCUAACGCGUUAAAUCGACCGCCUGGGGAGUACGGCCGCAAGGUUAAAACUCAAAUGAAUUGACGGGGGCCCGCACAAGCGGUGGAGCAUGUGGUUUAAUUCGAUGCAACGCGAAGAACCUUACCUGGUCUUGACAUCCACAGAACUUUCCAGAGAUGGAUUGGUGCCUUCGGGAACUGUGAGACAGGUGCUGCAUGGCUGUCGUCAGCUCGUGUUGUGAAAUGUUGGGUUAAGUCCCGCAACGAGCGCAACCCUUAUCCUUUGUUGCCAGCGGUUCGGCCGGGAACUCAAAGGAGACUGCCAGUGAUAAACUGGAGGAAGGUGGGGAUGACGUCAAGUCAUCAUGGCCCUUACGACCAGGGCUACACACGUGCUACAAUGGCAUAUACAAAGAGAAGCGACCUCGCGAGAGCAAGCGGACCUCAUAAAGUAUGUCGUAGUCCGGAUUGGAGUCUGCAACUCGACUCCAUGAAGUCGGAAUCGCUAGUAAUCGUAGAUCAGAAUGCUACGGUGAAUACGUUCCCGGGCCUUGUACACACCGCCCGUCACACCAUGGGAGUGGGUUGCAAAAGAAGUAGGUAGCUUAACCUUCGGGAGGGCGCUUACCACUUUGUGAUUCAUGACUGGGGUGAAGUCGUAACAAGGUAACCGUAGGGGAACCUGCGGUUGGAUCACCUCCUUACCUUAAAGAA
Molecule: ribosomal RNA, 1550 nt
Filed under: Klebsiella pneumoniae
Lineage: Bacteria; Pseudomonadati; Pseudomonadota; Gammaproteobacteria; Enterobacterales; Enterobacteriaceae
Description: bacterial SSU rRNA
Rfam family: Bacterial small subunit ribosomal RNA
Source: RNAcentral